This is a long non-coding RNA of Anneissia japonica, 593 nucleotides long. RefSeq lists it as uncharacterized. NCBI's taxonomy places the organism in Eukaryota, Metazoa, Echinodermata, Crinoidea, Comatulida, Comatulidae. The transcript has 3 exons. The record is from RefSeq and is a predicted model, not a curated record.
CAUUGUUAGCUCAUUUUGCUUUUAAUUCAUUAUUAGCGCGAACGCAGUCCCCGCUGCCAUAAAUUAUACACCCGAGUUCCACACGUUUGGCGGCACCUCUGGAGUGGUGUCUACAGUAGUGCAAUUAUGCAGGAAGAAGUCUACAAUUUUCGGCAUGUGAUUGGUCGAAGUCUACAAUAACUGAUCAUUGGUUGGUUAAUUGUCUGCGAUUUAAUUUUCUACAGUCUACAAUAAAUGAUCAGUGAUUGGCUUACUGUCUGAUGCUAAUGAGGAGGAGGGGCUUCUUCAUAGAAACGCUCGGUGAAUGAAGAUGAUUUUUUUUCUCCGAGAACUUCCCCAGAAUUUCUUUAAUUUUGCUUCAGUUUCUUUGUUUAAAACUGCUGAAAAGAACUUGACAGCACGAGUCGUACAGCCAAUAUUUUUGGACCAAUACAAAGAGGGUCUACAUCAAAGCAAUCACUUCAACAAAGCUCACUAAUUACCAGGCCAAAAAGUAUUUCAUCUGCUAGAUUUUCUUCCUCUGUUUUCUCAUCAACUCCCCAAAAUUAAAAGAGGACACAUCUGCUAAGUGCUAGUGGAUCUUCUACAUCUAC